AACCACUAGCUGUAUUGCCGAUA
RNAcentral lists this microRNA (23 nucleotides) under Ixodes scapularis (black-legged tick). Its description in RNAcentral is "Isc-Mir-34_3p* (star (passenger))". RNAcentral also lists the same sequence under 1 other name. Lineage: Eukaryota; Metazoa; Arthropoda; Arachnida; Ixodida; Ixodidae. The record is from RNAcentral.